Molecule: ribosomal RNA, 1507 nt
Filed under: uncultured prokaryote
Description: partial 16S ribosomal RNA
Rfam family: Bacterial small subunit ribosomal RNA
Source: RNAcentral
AGAGUUUGAUCAUGGCUCAGGACGAACGCUGGCGGUGUGCUUAACACAUGCAAGUCAACGAGAAUUUAUCUUCGGAUAAUAGUAAAGUGGCGAACGGGUGAGUAACGCGUAAAUAACUUGCCUUGGAGAUUGGGACAACAUUGGGAAACCAGUGCUAAUACCAAAUAAUGCAGCGGGCCCUUCGGGGCAUAGUUGUUAAAGUAGGCUUCGGCUUACACUUCAAGAUAGAUUUGCGUCCGAUUAACUUGUUGGUGGGGUAAUGGCCUACCAAGGUUGCGAUCGGUAGCUGGUCUGAGAGGAUGAUCAGCCACACUGGAACUGAGACACGGUCCAGACUCCUACGGGAGGCAGCAGUAGGGAAUAUUGCACAAUGGGGGAAACCCUGAUGCAUCGACGCCGCGUGAGUGAUGAAGUUUUUAGGAAUGUAAAAAUCUGUCGUAAGGGAAGAAAUGUUUCAGAUGUUAAUACCAUCUGUCAAUGAAGGUACCAUAGAAGAAAGGACCGGCUAACUUCGUGCCAGCAGCCGCGGUAAUACGAGGGGUCCAAGCGUUGCUCGGAAUUAUUGGGCGUAAAGCGGGUGUAGGCGGUUAUUUAAGUUGGAUGUGAAAGCCCAGGGCUCAACCUUGGAACUGCAUCCAAAACUGGGUAACUAGAGUACAGUAGAGGGGGGUAGAAUUUCAGGUGUAGCGGUGAAAUGCGUAGAGAUCUGAAGGAAUACCAGUGGCGAAGGCGGCCCCCUGGACUGAUACUGACACUGAGGUGCGAAAGCGUGGGUAGCGAACAGGAUUAGAUCCCCUGGUAGUCCACGCCGUAAACGAUGUCUACUAGCCGUUGGGAGGCUUGACCUCUUAGUGGCGCAGCUAACGCGAUAAGUAGACCGCCUGGGGAGUACGGCCGCAAGGUUAAAACUCAAAUGAAUUGACGGGGGCCCGCACAAGCGGUGGAGCAUGUGGUUUUAUUCGACGCAACGCGAAGAACCUUACCAAGUCUUGACAUCCUGCGAACUUUCUAGAGAUAGAUUGGUGCCUUCGGGAACGCAGUGACAGGUGCUGCAUGGCUGUCGUCAGCUCGUGUCGUGAGAUGUUGGGUUAAGUCCCGUAACGAGCGCAACCCUUGUCCUUAUUUGCCAGCACGUAAUGGUGGGAACUUUAAGGAGACUGCCGGUGACAAACCGGAGGAAGGUGGGGACGAUGUCAAGUCAUCAUGGCCCUUACGACUUGGGCUACACACGUGCUACAAUGGCCAGUACAAAGGGUUGCGACCCUGCGAGGGUGAGCUAAUCUCAUAAACCUGGUCGUAGUCCGGAUUGGAGUCUGCAACUCGACUCCAUGAAGCCGGAAUCGCUAGUAAUCGUGGAUCAGCAUGCCACGGUGAAUACGUUCCCGGGACUUGUACACACCGCCCGUCACACCAUGGGAGUGGGUUGCAAAAGAAGUGGGUAGACUAACCUUCGGGAGGUCGCUCACCACUUUGUGAUUCAUGACUGGGGUGAAGUCGUAACAAGGUA